This 380-nucleotide ribosomal RNA is filed under the name uncultured eukaryote. RNAcentral's name for it is "partial 18S ribosomal RNA". It matches the Rfam family "Eukaryotic small subunit ribosomal RNA", at positions 592 to 976 of the family's 1831-position model. The record is from RNAcentral.
CAAUAGCGUAUAUUAAAGUUGUUGCAGUUAAAACGCUCGUAGUCGGAUUUCGGGGCGGGUCCGCCGGUCUGCCGAUGGGUACGCACUGGCGGGCGCGUCCUUCCUUCCGGAGACUGGCCCUACUCUUAGCUGAGCGGGGUCGGGAGUCGGAUCGUUUACUUUGAAAAAAUCAGAGUGUUUCAAGCAGGCAGCUCGCUCUUGCAUGGAUUAGCAUGGGAUAAUGAAAUAGGACUUUGGUGCUAUUUUGUUGGUUUCGAACACCGAAGUAAUGAUUAACAGGGACAGUCAGGGGCACUCGUAUUCCGCCGAGAGAGGUGAAAUUCUCAGACCAGCGGAAGACGAACCACUGCGAAAGCAUUUGCCAGGGACGUUUUCACUGA